This 663-nucleotide long non-coding RNA is filed under the name Coturnix japonica (Japanese quail). RNAcentral describes it as "lncRNA (ENSCJPG00005010987.1)". The record is from RNAcentral. Lineage: Eukaryota; Metazoa; Chordata; Aves; Galliformes; Phasianidae.
GUCUAAAGUGGGCAAAACAGAUAAAAUACCAGCACUGGUUACUUCAGUAAGCUGUGCGAACAGCAAACAGAGCUUCAGAGGCAGAAAGGUCUCCUAAGUGAUUAAGGACUGAGUAAUCCAGUGAAGUCUCAUGAGUUCUGUCAGCAUAAGUGGCACGUAAUAGCAUUGUUGAAACUGGGAGCUCUUUCUUUGAGUGCCACAUAAUAAAGCCACUGCUGGACAACUGGACUGAGGUAAAAGGAUUAUCAGAUAUAUAUGUUUUUGAAGUCUUUGUUUCACAGGAGAGCCAUCAUCCAAGGCAACAUAAACUCUCCUUAUGUACUGAGCAGCCCAGUGCCAGAGGAGCAGAGUUGUGAAAGGUGAUUUCUUGUACAGAAGCCCGGUAAACUACAAUUCAUUUGUGGAUUUUUACCCUAGAAUCACUCCUAAAGAUUUAUUUGUAUUCAGACUUUGCUAGAUGUGCUCCCAAAGAGUUUCUUCUGUAGUUCUUCACUUGAGAAGGAUUCCCCUUCGAGUGCUUUGAGUCUGUACCAAAGUAGCAUUACCAAGAUCUGAUGAGGGGCUUUGCAGCUCCAGCCUCAAAUGAAUGUGUUGAUGUGCCUCAGGCACCUCGAUGGGGAACACGAUGAUCCUUAAAUGUAGAGCAUUGAGUCCUUGAAAUCA